Long non-coding RNA from Nothobranchius furzeri (turquoise killifish), 797 nucleotides. RefSeq lists it as uncharacterized. The record is from RefSeq and is a predicted model, not a curated record. Lineage: Eukaryota; Metazoa; Chordata; Actinopteri; Cyprinodontiformes; Nothobranchiidae.
UAAGUACCGAGGGCUUCAUCUAUCUAAAAGGAGUCAUUUCCAUCUGAAUGUGGCAGCAACGGGACACAGCAGCAGAGCGUGUCCACAUCCAGAAGGCUGGAGCCGUGUUUCACUGACAGGCUGUCAGACUAAAGCCCUGAUGAGCUCAGCUGGGACAAACUGGUCUGAUGUUUAGGAACACAGAACGUUCAGAUGUUGGACCUUCACGUCACCUACUGAGGAAGGAGACCCACCAGUAAAGAGACGGUCUGGACCAGACCAAAAAUAUGGCGAUGACAUCAUGGAACUGGUCUUUGGAAAAGUUUUCCCUGAACCAACUCCGUUUCUAGAUGAGGUAGAGAAGAUCUGCAUCUCACCAACCCUCUGGUCUCAGUAUUCAGACAACGGAGGUCUCCCACUCUUAUCCAGGACCAGUUUGAAGCUCACAUACUGCCCCUCCCUCAUCAUCAGGAAACAUCAAUCCGUAUCCUGAGGACAACAGAAGACGGCAGGAGGACAGGAACUCUGAGACCUAGAUACCACCAGCACCGGGACACAAAGCACCUGUGUGCACAACGCCUGUUUAACUACUAAAGCCUGUUUAUUAUAUUGUUCUACUUAUUUGCUGUGAGGUUAUUACUUAGAAAAUUUGUAUAUUAAUUAGUGGUGGGCAUAGAUUAAUUUUUUUAAUCUAGAUUAAUCUCACUGUAAUCUUGGAAUUAAUCUAGAUUAAUCUAGAUUAAAAUGGCUCAUUCAAAUUCUGCCAAAGGCAUAUGUGUGUGCUACCUAGAUAAUGAAUAAAAGCAAGUCUUUGAGAA